Molecule: small RNA, 3520 nt
Filed under: Arabidopsis thaliana (thale cress)
Lineage: Eukaryota; Viridiplantae; Streptophyta; Magnoliopsida; Brassicales; Brassicaceae
Description: ATSL168130
Source: RNAcentral
AUUCAAAAACUAAAGUAAUACACUUUAUACAGAAACCAAAUUUAAGAUUUAAACACAAUCUCAAAUGGAAAAAAUAAUUCUUAUUUAAGAAAUAGAAAUCUAAAUUUAGAGUCAAAAUUUAUUUGUGAGAUAUAAGUAAAUUUCACAAAGAUUUAUUGCAUCCUAAAGAAACACAAGUAAUGAAAGCAAACAAUUUUUCAUUUUUUUAUCAUCCUCUGCAUUAAGUUUUAGUUUGACAUUCUGAAAUUCUUUUAUUUCACUCUAAUAUAUUUGUAGGCUCUAUGGUAUGUAUAAAGUUUGCUUUAAAAGAAAAAUAAUGUUUAUCAUUGUUAUAAAAAAAAAUUCACAAAUAAAUAAAGGGAAUGUGACACGUUUAGGCACUUUUAGAGAAUUUUAUUCCAUUUGAGGCACUUUGCAGAGAUGAGGCACUUUUUCAACUUUUUCAUCGAAUUUAUGACAAAUUUGCCCCUAAAAGUGAAAACGAAAAUACUUUAGCGUUUGGAAGUUGGUAUAUGAUGAGUGGGUCGUUGGAUGGAAGUUGUAGCUAUUAUCAGAUUAUAUAUAUAAUUUAAUUACUCAAAAAAGUAUAAUGAAUAUUAUUUCUCUAUUUGUACUUUUUUUCUUCGUCUUCUUCAUUGUCUACUUUUUUUCUUCUUCAUCGACUCUUCUUCUUCUUUUCUUUCUCUAUCUAUCUCUUUCUUCAUCUUUCAGUCUUUCCUUGCAAAAUCAAACAUGAGAGAAUUUGUCAAAAUCGUGUAGCUUCUGUAUUUUCCUUUACGGAGAAGCCUCUCUAGAUUUAAGUGACGAUUAGGCUUAUUCGAUUGGUUUCGGAGCGGCAGCGCUUGUGACUAACAGCGGAAGCUUGAGUGUAGCAGACAAUAACAUCUAGAGGUGAAAGAAGAAAAGGAUUUGUUCCCUCAAUCUUACAACCAAUCGAUCCAGCUUUUGCGAUUAUUCUUCAAUUCUAUGAAUAGAAUUUAGAGUUUUGUUAGAUUGUGUAAAUAUCUGAUUCAUAUUUGCGAAAUUGUGCUUGUGAAGACGAUGAGAUCGGUUGCAGAUUGAAAGUUCCUCUUUCCUUACUCUCCUUUGUUUCAGAUCUGUUGCAAGAAGGCGACGAGAGAGGCGGUGAUAACGUAACGUGAGACGUUACUCGACUUACUUAAUUUGGAUUUUGAAAUUCCACCUGAGAAUUUAAACUCUCUCCCGAAAAAGAAGAAGAAAUGGCAGCGUACAUGGAAGAGAUUCCGUGAGAACAAAAAUUGUUCGGAGUAACCUCGAUAAUACGGGGUUACGGAGAUGCAAGGUCCUCGUUACUCUGUUCUAUUCCAUGGAGCACCAGAUUGGCAAAUUCCAGUAUUGAAUUUCAUAUCCAUAUGAUCAGCUUGUUUGGUACCAUUUGAUUCUAGCUUGAUAAAUUGAUGUUUCGUUGAACCUCUAAGCUAAGAGCACUUUACUUCGCACAUGAGAAUAAAUCAUUUCCACAUGGUCACAUCUUGUUGGACAAGUUUUCAUGGACACAAACUAUCAAAGCAUCCAACACGAUUUCAUUAUGUAUAAACUAAUAAUCCUAUAGGUCUCCAAGCCCCAAGAACAAUAUGUAGACAUUGCUUUCAAAUAGCAACCCUCAAAACCCAAUUAGUUAAUGAUAGUUUGUAUCCAUUAUAACUUGUCCAAUUAAACUUUAACAUGUGGAGUAAUGGUGAAACAUGACAAACACUUGAACACAAAUGAUUCAUGUGUAGAGCUUUCAUCAAUUUUCUAUCGAAUGAAAAAGAGUGUCAUGGUGAUGCAAGAAUCACAACUUAGUCAAAACAAAUCAUGCGUCUUUUUCUUAUUCAACACAGUAUCCACAAUAACAAUACAUUACUUACACAAAAGAACGAGACCCAUCAAACAUGCUUUCAUAUAAAGACAAAACCAUACCAACUAAAACCCAAAAUCUUAUUAACAUGCUUUCUUUCACGUAUUCUUUUCUCUGCAUUUGUUAUUCUUACAGAUCCAUAAUAAUGUGUUCAUUUCAAAUGUGUUCAUACGGAAUCUUGUUUACUAAGCAUAUCCAUCACCCCAAGUCCAUACAACCAUGUCUACACCGUUGUAGAAUCACAAUACACAAUUUCUAUAAAAAAGCAUAAGUAAUAACCACCAAUUUCAAAAACUAUGUCCACUACGAUGCUUUGCGUUUAUAUUCUAACCCUUUACAAGUAGCCAUCCACUAGCGACCAUUCAAUGUUGACCAUAUAGUUGUAGGGAUCAAUUACAAUUUUCUUGUAAAUGGUUAGAGUUAUGACCAUAUGAUGUAUCAUUGUAGAAUGCGCAAACAAAAGAAAGUGCUAAUUUACCGAGAUAUAAACACAUUCACAGCAAAUCAAAGACAUAGUUGUUGUCCAUUGAUGACAGUCCAAAAAAUGUAGUCCAUAUGGUUAUCUAAUGAUUCACAUGGUAGUUUUAUUUCAAUAAACAAGUCUAUACAUGACCAAUAAACGCCAAUCCAAAGUACAUUAUCCAUUUUUCUUUGACCAUUUAUUCACUUGUGUAUAAACAAUCCCAUCAGUAGGACAAUGUCAGUUAUAUAGCUUUUAUAAAGAAUUUAACGAAGAUCUUAUCACUCUCAAUGAAGACCAUUAGUUCACUUGGAUAAACCCGUCUAUACUAAUCAUUUGUAAUAGGUAUAAGAUAGAAGGAUGUGUCCAUUGCCAUAAACUACAGAUUUUUAUUCAAUAGAAAUUCAACAAAUAUACAUCUAUUGUAUAACGUCAUAACUCACAAAAGUUACUUUGAUUUUCAUCGUGUCUCAACCUCUCGUUUAUUUCUUCAUCUUGACUUUGAAUUAGAAGUGAUUACUCUCAGGAAAUCAAAUCAAUCAGAAACAAUACUUUCAAAUUUAUAGAUCUGAUGUGGAAUAAGAUUAAGAACUUUCUAAUUUUGUAUAUCAGAGAUACCAGAGUAAUUAGGAGCAGAGAGGCACCAAACGAAGCGACGAAUAAGGCAUAAAGCUCCCUCCGCCACCGCCACCACCAACUACGUACGCCAUCAUGUCUUGAUUAGCUUUUCAAAAACAAUCAUAGCAAGGAAUCAAAGCAAAUAUGUCGGAGAUUAGAAGAUAAAGCCCUCAUUUUUGAACUUUGAUUUUUCGUAAAAGAUUUGAUAUUGGUUUUGGAAAUAGAAAAAUAAAAACGAUGAAGAAGCGCUGAGAAGAUAUGACAAAGAGAAUGAGUUUGCAGUUAAAAAGGGUAAAUUGGACAAUUUGGUUUGGCAAAGUGCCUUAUCUUUUCAAAGUGUCUAAAUCCGUACAUAGUUUUUUAAAAGUGCCCUAGAAUGUAAUAUUUUCAUAAAUAAAUCUAUGGUAGUAUAAAAACUAUAAAUCUUAGAAACAAAAAUAUAUAAUGGUAUAAUAUGAGGCAAGCCCACUUUAAUUGGUUGUAUAUCUAACUUUUAUCUAAAAGUUUUUCAAAAAUAAAUAAAUAAAUAGAUAUAUUAAUAUCCAUUUCUCUCUAGAGUUUGUAACAUCUAAUACCUAAAU